GAGUUUGAUCCUGGCUCAGGAUGAACGCUGGCGGCGUGCCUAACACAUGCAAGUCGAACGGAGUUUAUGAGGAAGAAGCUUCGGCGGAAUUCUUAUAAACUUAGUGGCGGACGGGUGAGUAACACGUGGAGAACCUGCCUCUUACCGGGGACGAGCAGUUGGAAACGACUGAUAAUACCGCAUAAGCGCACGAGACCGCAUGGUCCUGUGUGAAAAGAUUUAUCGGUAAGAGAUGGCUCCGCGUCUGAUUAGCCAGUUGGCGGGUAACGGCCACCAAAGCGACGAUCAGUAGCCGGCCUGAGAGGGUGAACGGCCACAUUGGGACGUGAGGACACGGCCCAGGACUCCUACGGGAGGC
RNAcentral lists this ribosomal RNA (358 nucleotides) under uncultured microorganism. RNAcentral's name for it is "bacterial SSU rRNA". It matches the Rfam family "Bacterial small subunit ribosomal RNA", at positions 9 to 349 of the family's 1533-position model. The record is from RNAcentral.